UAACGGUUUGGACAUCGCCGGUUUCGGU
This 28-nucleotide small RNA is filed under the name Bombyx mori (domestic silkworm). Its description in RNAcentral is "piRNA piR-bmo-1671673". The record is from RNAcentral. Lineage: Eukaryota; Metazoa; Arthropoda; Insecta; Lepidoptera; Bombycidae.